Molecule: ribosomal RNA, 166 nt
Filed under: uncultured bacterium
Lineage: Bacteria
Description: partial 16S rRNA
Rfam family: Bacterial small subunit ribosomal RNA
Source: RNAcentral
UAGGGAAUCUUCGGCAAUGGACGAAAAGUCUGACCGAGCAACGCCGCGUGAGUGAAGAAGGUUUUCGGAUCGUAAAACUCUGUUGGUAGAGAAGAACGUUGGUGAGAGUGGAAAGCUCAUCAAGUGACGGUAACUACCCAGAAAGGGACGGCUAACUACGUGCCAA